CGGCAACAGCUCAAAUUUGAAAUCUGGCGCAAGCCCGAGUUGUAAUUUGUAGAGGAUGUUUCUGGCGACGUGCCUUCCGAGUUCCCUGGAACGGGACGCCAUAGAGGGUGCAAGCCCCGU
This 120-nucleotide ribosomal RNA is filed under the name Clonostachys rosea. RNAcentral's name for it is "partial large subunit ribosomal RNA". Lineage: Eukaryota; Fungi; Ascomycota; Sordariomycetes; Hypocreales; Bionectriaceae. The record is from RNAcentral.